This 469-nucleotide ribosomal RNA is filed under the name Flavobacterium sp. 01WB03.2-62. RNAcentral describes it as "bacterial SSU rRNA". It matches the Rfam family "Bacterial small subunit ribosomal RNA", at positions 1 to 479 of the family's 1533-position model. Lineage: Bacteria; Pseudomonadati; Bacteroidota; Flavobacteriia; Flavobacteriales; Flavobacteriaceae. The record is from RNAcentral.
UGAGCUUGAUCCUGGCUCAGGAUGAACGCUAGCGGCAGGCUUAACACAUGCAAGUCGAGGGGUAGAAGUCUUCGGACUUUGAGACCGGCGCACGGGUGCGUAACGCGUAUGCAAUCUGCCUUUCACAGAGGGAUAGCCCAGAGAAAUUUGGAUUAAUACCUCAUAGUAUAACACAACCGCAUGGUUGAGUUAUUAAAGUCACAACGGUGAAAGAUGAGCAUGCGUCCCAUUAGCUAGUUGGUAAGGUAACGGCUUACCAAGGCAACGAUGGGUAGGGGUCCUGAGAGGGAGAUCCCCCACACUGGUACUGAGACACGGACCAGACUCCUACGGGAGGCAGCAGUGAGGAAUAUUGGACAAUGGGCGCAAGCCUGAUCCAGCCAUGCCGCGUGCAGGAUGACGGUCCUAUGGAUUGUAAACUGCUUUUGCACAGGAAGAAACAGCUCUACGUGUAGAGUCUGACGGUACG